AUGGCAACUUUGGAUCAUGGAAUCUUUGUUUGCACGGCAGUCACACUAUGGGCCAUCUGGACGGCACGACGAAAAUAUAUACAUGAGGGAAUUACACAAAGUCCGCAAGCCACUUCUCUCUUUGUGAGCAGAUUUAUCAGAGAUCUAGAACUGAUCAAUACAAAGCCUCAGCAUACUUUGCAGGCAGCCCCUUGGGUAAAUGUGGCAGCACAUGCAAGGCCAAAAGCGCCACCAGCGGGUUACGUUAAGAUCCAUGUAGAUGGUGCAGUCUUGCGUAACCGGCGAGGCUCCGCGGCGGCAGUAUGCCGAGACCAGGCGGGCAACUACAUGGGAACUUCUGCACUCGUCUUGCCAGGGGUAACUGACCCGCACACUUUGGAAGCAAUCGCUUGCCGAGAAGGUCAUGCUCUGGCAGAGGAUCUCGUCUUGGGGAACCUAAUCAUCGCAUCUGAUUGCAAGCAGGUUGUUCAUGACAUCAAGCUAGGCAACUAGGGAAUUUAUGGUUCAGUGAUAGCAGAAAUUAAUCUUCAUUCUUUGGAUUUUACCUGUAGUUUCGUUUUUGAAAGCCGUUCUUCAAACGGUGAAGCUCAUAGUUUAGCUAAGCAUGCACUUUCUCUCGGUGCGGGGCGCCACACUUGGCUGGUUGACCCUCAUAAUCCGAUUUGUAUCCUACUUCACGUGGAUUAUGAUCAAUAA
This 696-nucleotide ribosomal RNA is filed under the name Triticum aestivum (bread wheat). RNAcentral describes it as "partial small subunit ribosomal RNA". The record is from RNAcentral. Lineage: Eukaryota; Viridiplantae; Streptophyta; Magnoliopsida; Poales; Poaceae.